Molecule: ribosomal RNA, 321 nt
Filed under: uncultured eukaryote
Lineage: Eukaryota
Description: partial 18S ribosomal RNA
Rfam family: Eukaryotic small subunit ribosomal RNA
Source: RNAcentral
CUCCUAAAUGUUCUGGGCGACACGCGCACUACAAUGACAAAGUGAAUGAGCGAAACCUUUUCGGUCCUGUCUCGAAAGGGAUGGGGAAACUGAGAAAACUAUGUCGUGCUUGGGAUCGAAGCUUGGAAUUAUUCUUCUUGAACGAGGAAUGCCUAGUAGAUGUGCUUCAUCAAAGCGCAUUGACUACGUCCCUGCCAUUUGUACACACCGCCCGUCGUUGUUACCGAUGCCAGUUGGAUACAGGUUAACGGACGCUCGACAGCUUGCUGUUGGUGAAAGUUAACCUAUAUUUAACUAGUAGAGGAAGCAAAAGUCGUAACA